RNAcentral lists this ribosomal RNA (465 nucleotides) under uncultured Klebsiella sp. Its description in RNAcentral is "bacterial SSU rRNA". It matches the Rfam family "Bacterial small subunit ribosomal RNA", at positions 338 to 795 of the family's 1533-position model. Lineage: Bacteria; Pseudomonadati; Pseudomonadota; Gammaproteobacteria; Enterobacterales; Enterobacteriaceae. The record is from RNAcentral.
CCUACGGGAGGCUGCAGUGGGGAAUAUUGCACAAUGGGCGCAAGCCUGAUGCAGCCAUGCCGCGUGUGUGAAGAAGGCCUUCGGGUUGUAAAGCACUUUCAGCGGGGAGGAAGGCGUUAAGGUUAAUAACCUUGGCGAUUGACGUUACCCGCAGAAGAAGCACCGGCUAACUCCGUGCCAGCAGCCGCGGUAAUACGGAGGGUGCAAGCGUUAAUCGGAAUUACUGGGCGUAAAGCGCACGCAGGCGGUCUGUCAAGUCGGAUGUGAAAUCCCCGGGCUCAACCUGGGAACUGCAUUCGAAACUGGCAGGCUAGAGUCUUGUAGAGGGGGGUAGAAUUCCAGGUGUAGCGGUGAAAUGCGUAGAGAUCUGGAGGAAUACCGGUGGCGAAGGCGGCCCCCUGAACAAAGACUGACGCUCAGGUGCGAAAGCGUGGGGAGCAAACAGGAUUAGAUACCCGGGUAGUC